This 204-nucleotide microRNA precursor is filed under the name Medicago truncatula (barrel medic). Its description in RNAcentral is "MIR2670 microRNA precursor family". It matches the Rfam family "MIR2670 microRNA precursor family". The record is from Rfam by way of RNAcentral. Lineage: Eukaryota; Viridiplantae; Streptophyta; Magnoliopsida; Fabales; Fabaceae.
CUUGAGGUAAAAAGUGGCUAGCCAGCUUGGGAAAAAAGAGAUCAACCCUUGGGAUAAAAUUAAGUUUUCUUCUUAUUACCCCAAAAACUUUUUACCGUGGGUAAAAAGACUCUUCUUGGGGUAUAAAAAGAAUAAAAUUUAGAUUUAGCCUAAGGGUUGAUGAUGUCUUUUCCCCCAAGAAGGUUGGUCACUAUUUACCCCAUG